UUUGGAUUUUGGGCCGUCCGAUCGAGCUGACGUGGCGCGAUCUCGGCCGUCGUUCCGUCCAGGGCGCUGAGGCCCUCCCGCAGACCCACUUUUUAUCCAUGGGUCGCGAAAAGCCCCGCUCGGCCCGAUCUCUCGCGUCGCGUGUGGCUGCCUCCUCUCCAAUCCCGUCGCUCCCUCUCCCCUUCCAAUCCCGCAGAUGCAGCCGCCGCCUCCCCAGCUCCCUCUCCCUGCUGCCGCUCUCCUCUCCGGCGAGCUGCCGCCGCUCUCCUCUCCGGCGAGCGUUGGCAGCUGUGUCCUCCCGCUCAUCAAGGCCCCCGUUCUCGUCGCUGUUGAGAGGAAGAGGAGGAGCCCCAAACCACCAAACCUCCCCCCGUCGUCUCCUCCCCGAAGCCUCCUGCUCGGCCGCCUCCACCGCCACUCGCGUCGCCGCCGGCACCUUCUUCAGCCGUCUCCCCUCUCCCCGCCUCUUCCUCCUGAUUCGCGAUGCUGCGACCUCGAGGCGCCAUCAAGGAAUCUCGUCCCCAAUCCCCGCAGCCUCCGCGUCCCCUCUCUCCAAUCGCCGCCACCUCCCUCCUCCUCAUCUCCUUCGUGACGUUCGUCCUCGCUGGGAGAAGGAGAAUGGGCUAUCCAUCGUCGGGAUGAGCCACUGGCCGCCGCUCGCGCCGCAUCCCAUCUCCAGGGCAGCGGUCGUCUUGCAUCGCAAGGAGCAGCGGCGCUCGGUAGGGGGCGGCGGCGUAGGAGGAUGAGGAGAAGCGGGCGGAGCAGCAGCAGAGACCACCGGUGACGCUUGCUUCUCCCACCGUCCUCCAUCUCCGCCUUCUCGUCGCCUCUGUGCACCGGCCGACACACAGGAGAAGAAGGCAGCUCGGAGAUGGCUAGGGCACGGGCUCGACGGCGUUGUCCUCAGCGCGGUGGAGCAUGGCGCUGCCGUCAGCCUCGUCCAUCCCAGGCAUCUCUCUCCAUGAGAAGCCCCAAGAAUCCUCUCUCCUUUGUCAUCUCUCUUUCUCUCCAGAUUCUAUUUUAUCUAUGCUCAGAAGGUGUUUGACAUAAUUCAUGCACGGCAGGAUUAAUCUAUUUCAUAUCUUUGCUCUAUUGAUUGCUCAAUAAUUUCGUUCUUCUUUGUAAAAAUGGAUCUAAUGCAUUCCAAGAUUUUGCAUAAAUAUUGUACACUCGGUAUAACCAUUUUUUAGUUACGACUGUUUGUUGCUUUGGCUAGAAUCUAUUCAUGUGUUGAAGAAUGUAAUGUGGAUGAAGUGAGAGCAAGCAGCCUUUCUGGCCGUAGUUCAUAAUUUUCCUUUUCGUUCGUUAGUUCAUAGUUCUUCUUUAUUAGAUCUUUAGAAUAUAGUGCUGCAUAAGUUACUCCACUGUAUUUCCUGGUCGUCAUCCUCCUUUGCAGAACUGGUUGAUGCCCUCGGGGACAAUUUUUGUUUCAGCAUAUAUUCUUCAGUCCGUAUGUGUGUUAUUUACUCUUUGGUGUUUUGACAUGGCGCAUGAUGGUGGCGAACAGUUUCAAGGUGCAGAUGAGCUUCUUCUUCUGUUAUUGAUGCCACCUGUGAGAUUUGUCCAACUCCACUUUGUGGCACAGGAAGGUGUAUAGGAUCCUUGCUGCUCUACUCAGGUGGGGGAAGACAUUGAAGCAAAACAGCAAACAAAAUGUAUAUGCUCUCCCUGGUAAUUUGUUAUGGGAGGUUGUAUGACAAGGGUGCCAAUGAUGACAUGUGGAGCCUUCUGUUCUACAGGAAAACCCAUUGUUUAUUUCCUGUAGCUGCUUGUGUUGUUCAUAUUGGAUUCUGGUUUGCUAUGGAUUCGUCCAUUGCUAAGUAUCAACCCAUAUUUCUUGUUAAACAGAAGCAGAAGCUUCUGCCUAUUGUUGCUGAAUAUGUAGGCAGUGAAGCAUUGAGCACCAUAAUUUCUAACAAGCUUCGUGCAGGCUAUGCUCUAAUUGUGUGAAGUGGGAUGAGGACAAUCUGUAUGAGUUUGAAUCAAGCAAGCCAGUGAGACAGAAGAUACCUGAGCCCAAGACAUAGUAUCACCCUAUUAUGAUAGAUGGUGAUGGGUCAGUAUCACCAAAGCACCCGUUUGACAAGUGCCUAGAUGAGACUGUUAAUGUUGAAGCUAUUCUAACUGUUUUGAAUGGCGUGGCUUCUUCAAGUAAAAAUGAUUCUAAGGAUGAUGAUUGGGCAACCUCAGAUGAUGAUGCGGAUUCCAUGGAACAUGAUGAUGGUUGGUAGCUUCUUGCUCAAUUGCUAUUAUAAUGUGGUUAUUCUGUUUUGCAAUAAUUUUCAAUCAUAUAUUGCUAUACUGUGUUUGAAUCUAUUUAAAUGAGGGAAAUUAAUGUGACUUGCU
Non-coding RNA from Lolium perenne, 2346 nucleotides. Lineage: Eukaryota; Viridiplantae; Streptophyta; Magnoliopsida; Poales; Poaceae. The record is from RefSeq and is a predicted model, not a curated record.